Hippoglossus stenolepis (Pacific halibut) is the source of this 431-nucleotide long non-coding RNA. RefSeq lists it as uncharacterized. NCBI's taxonomy places the organism in Eukaryota, Metazoa, Chordata, Actinopteri, Pleuronectiformes, Pleuronectidae. The transcript has 3 exons. The record is from RefSeq and is a predicted model, not a curated record.
CAGUUUUUUAAACAGUCCUGAGACACGUGCUCGGGUUGAGUGUUCGUGACUUUACUUCGACCUGGAACUCACGUCUCUCUUCCUAAUUCAUCUGUCAGGAGUCCAUCCUGCACUCGUCCCCCAGGGCAUCUGUCUAGGAUCUGCCAUGCUCAUCAGUGGAGGAGAAGAGAAGGCUAACUGGGAGCCUGUACUGGCUGUAAAUCUGACCAUGCAGGGAGGGAGGGGAACCUGCAGUGGCCACACUUCUACUGCAGCCCACUGCUGGUGUCGCUGCUCGAGGUUCUGUCCAGGAACACACAGCUGGACUCCAGGACUUUGAACAGCUGCAGAAUUUCUGCAUAUACACAGCUGUGAUCAACACCCAGCAGGUACCAGCAUCUGAACUGUCUCAAACAAAGUUUAAAUGAACCAUCUAUUUACUUAUUUGAUAA